RNAcentral lists this ribosomal RNA (465 nucleotides) under uncultured bacterium. Its description in RNAcentral is "partial 16S ribosomal RNA". It matches the Rfam family "Bacterial small subunit ribosomal RNA", at positions 28 to 507 of the family's 1533-position model. The record is from RNAcentral.
GACGAACGCUGGCGGCGUGCUUAACACAUGCAAGUCGAACGGAAAGGCCCCUUUGGGGGUCCUCGAGUGGCGAACGGGUGAGUAACACGUGAGUAACCUGCCCUUGACUUGGGGAUAACUUCAGGAAACUGGGGCUAAUACCGGAUAGGAAUCCUUGCUGCAUGGUGGGGGUUGGAAAGCUUCGGCGGUUUUGGAUGGACUCGCGGCUUAUCAGCUUGUUGGUGGGGUAGUGGCUUACCAAGGCUUUGACGGGUAGCCGGCCUGAGAGGGCGACCGGCCACAUUGGGACUGAGAUACGGCCCAGACUCCUACGGGAGGCAGCAGUGGGGAAUAUUGCACAAUGGGCGGAAGCCUGAUGCAGCAACGCCGCGUGCGGGAUGACGGCCUUCGGGUUGUAAACCGCUUUCAGCAGGGGCGAAGCUUGUGGUGACGGUACCUGCAGAAGAAGCACCGGCUAACUACGUG